This 385-nucleotide ribosomal RNA is filed under the name Madascincus sp. ZCMV 2283. Its description in RNAcentral is "partial 12S ribosomal RNA". It matches the Rfam family "Bacterial small subunit ribosomal RNA", at positions 854 to 1409 of the family's 1533-position model. Lineage: Eukaryota; Metazoa; Chordata; Lepidosauria; Squamata; Scincidae. The record is from RNAcentral.
CAUACACAAUAUUGUCCGCCCGAGGACUACAAGCGAAAAGCUCGAAACUCCAAGGACUUGGCGGUGCUCCACACCAACCUAGAGGAGCCUGUCCUAUAAUCGAUACCCCACGUUAAACCUCACCCCCCCUUGCCCCCAGCUUAUAUACCGCCGUCGUCAGCUUACCCUGUGAAAGCCCAACAGUAAGCGGAGCCGUUAAUAACGAACACGUCAGGUCAAGGUGUAGCUCAUGAGGCGGAAGAGAUGGGCUACAUUUUCUACACCAGAACACACGAAUGAUCCAAUGAAACAUGCGUCUCAAGGCGGAUUUAGUAGUAAGACAAGCAAGAAACCUUGUCUAAAACUCGCUCUGGAGCGCGCACACACCGCCCGUCACCCUCAUCAA